GUUUUAAUAGUUUAAAUAAAACAAUGAUCUUGUAAAUCAUAGAUAGAAAGAAUCUUUAAAACU
This 63-nucleotide transfer RNA is filed under the name Ectomocoris horridus. RNAcentral describes it as "tRNA-Thr". It matches the Rfam family "tRNA". From Rfam's summary of the family: Transfer RNA (tRNA) molecules are approximately 80 nucleotides in length. Their secondary structure includes four short double-helical elements and three loops (D, anti-codon, and T loops). Further hydrogen bonds mediate the characteristic L-shaped molecular structure. tRNAs have two regions of fundamental functional importance: the anti-codon, which is responsible for specific mRNA codon recognition, and the 3' end, to which the tRNAs corresponding amino acid is attached (by aminoacyl-tRNA synthetases). tRNAs cope with the degeneracy of the genetic code in two manners: having more than one tRNA (with a specific anti-codon) for a particular amino acid; and 'wobble' base-pairing, i.e. permitting non-standard base-pairing at the 3rd anti-codon position. The record is from RNAcentral. Lineage: Eukaryota; Metazoa; Arthropoda; Insecta; Hemiptera; Reduviidae.